RNAcentral lists this ribosomal RNA (298 nucleotides) under uncultured bacterium. RNAcentral's name for it is "partial 16S ribosomal RNA". It matches the Rfam family "Bacterial small subunit ribosomal RNA", at positions 334 to 624 of the family's 1533-position model. The record is from RNAcentral.
AAUUCCUACGGGACGCAGCAGUAGGGAAUCUUCCACAAUGGGCGAAAGCCUGAUGGAGCAACGCCGCGUGGGUGAAGAAGGUCUUCGGAUUGUAAAACCCUGUUGUUAGAGAAGAAAGUGCGUGAGAGUAACUGUUCACGUUUCGACGGUAUCUAACCAGAAAGCCACGGCUAACUACGUGCCAGCAGCCGCGGUAAUACGUGGGUGGCAAGCGUUAUCCGGAUUUAUUGGGCGUAAAGGGAACGCAGGCGGUUCAAUAAGUCUGAUGUGAAAGCCUUCGGCUCAACCGGAGAAUUGC